GUCAUCACUCGCUCACGGCGCAGAGCUUAGCUAAUCGGUGAGCAUUGAUCCCUUAAGAAAACUGUUCACAGUGGCUAAGUUCAGUGUCUGGAGUGAACGGGAUGAC
This is a microRNA precursor of Danio rerio (zebrafish), 106 nucleotides long. Ensembl annotates it as microRNA 27e. Its record names the gene dre-mir-27e. NCBI's taxonomy places the organism in Eukaryota, Metazoa, Chordata, Actinopteri, Cypriniformes, Danionidae. The record is from Ensembl.